UGAGGAACAUGACCUUCGGCGGGGGAUAGCCGGCCCAACGGCCGGGUAAUACCGCGUACGACCACAUGGGGACAUCCCUGAGUGGUGAAAGCAGCAAUGCGCCGAUGGAGUGCCUCGCGGCCUAUCAGCUAGUUGGUGAGGUAACGGCCCACCAAGGCGACGACGGGUAGCCGGCCUGAGAGGGUGACCGGCCACACGUGGGACUGAGAUACCGGCCCAGACUCCGUACGGGAGCAGC
Molecule: ribosomal RNA, 238 nt
Filed under: uncultured bacterium
Lineage: Bacteria
Description: partial 16S ribosomal RNA
Rfam family: Bacterial small subunit ribosomal RNA
Source: RNAcentral